GUGGACUUGGUCAGGGCCGAUGCAUACCGUACGUGGACUUGGUCAGGGCCGAUGCAUACCGUACAUGGACUUGGUCACAGGGCUGAUGCAUACCGUACAUGGACUUGGUCACAGGGCUGAUGCAUACCGUACAUGGACUUGGUCAGGGCCGAUGCAUACCGUACAUGGACUUGGUCAGGGCCGAUGCAUACCGUACGUGGACUUGGUCAGGGCCGAUGCAUACCGUACAUGGACUUGGUCACAGGGCUGAUGCAUACCGUACAUGGACUUGGUCACAGGGCUGAUGCAUACCGUACAUGGACUUGGUCACAGGGCUGAUGCAUACCGUACGUGGACUUGGUCACAGGGCUGAUGCAUACCGUACGUGGACUUGGUCACAGGCCGAUGCAUACCGUACAUGGACUUGGUCAGGGCUGAUGCAUACCGUACGUGGACUUGGUCAGGGCCGAUGCAUACCGUACAUGGACUUGGCCAGGGCUGAUGCAUACCGUACGUGGACUUUGUCAGGGCCGAUGCAUACCGUACAUGGACUUGGUCAGGGCUGAUGCAUACCGUACGUGGACUUGGUCAGGGCCGAUGCAUACCGUACAUGGACUUGGUCAGGGCCGAUGCAUACUGUACAUGGACUUGGUCAGGGCUGAUGCAUACCGUACGUGGACUUGGUCAGGGCUGAUGCAUACCGUACAUGGACUUGGUCAGGGCUGAUGCAUACCGUACGUGGACUUUGUUAAUAAUGAACUGCUACAAAACAAUAAUAGAGAGAACUUGUCUGUAUGCAGCCAUGUGAAUGUAAAAUAUUUCUGAGGGUUUUAUUACAACUAUUGAUGAAAAAAUGGUGAUGUUGUUCACGUGACUCAGUGAAGUAACUUGUAUUUGUUUUCAAAAGCAUUAAAUGAUUUCAAUAGUCAA
Molecule: long non-coding RNA, 909 nt
Filed under: Salmo salar (Atlantic salmon)
Lineage: Eukaryota; Metazoa; Chordata; Actinopteri; Salmoniformes; Salmonidae
Description: lncRNA (ENSSSAG00000083859.1)
Source: RNAcentral